GCCCAGACUCCUACGGGAGGCAGCAGUGGGGAAUAUUGGGCAAUGGGCGCAAGCCUGACCCAGCAACGCCGCGUGAAGGAAGAAGGCUUUCGGGUUGUAAACUUCUUUUAAGAGGGAAGAGUAGAAGACGGUACCUCUUGAAUAAGCCACGGCUAACUACGUGCCAGCAGCCGCGGUAAUACGUAGGUGGCAAGCGUUGUCCGGAUUUACUGGGUGUAAAGGGCGUGUAGCCGGGCCGGCAAGUCAGAUGUGAAAUUCCGGGGCUCAACCCCGGACCUGCAUUUGAAACUGUUGGUCUUGAGUAUCGGAGAGGCAGGCGGAAUUCCUAGUGUAGCGGUGAAAUGCGUAGAUAUUAGGAGGAACACCAGUGGCGAAGGCGGUCAACUGGACAGCAACUGACGCUGAGGCGCGAAAGCGUGGGGAGCAAACAGGAUUAGAUACCCCAGUAUA
RNAcentral lists this ribosomal RNA (450 nucleotides) under uncultured bacterium. RNAcentral's name for it is "partial 16S ribosomal RNA". It matches the Rfam family "Bacterial small subunit ribosomal RNA", at positions 329 to 794 of the family's 1533-position model. The record is from RNAcentral.